Molecule: long non-coding RNA, 1249 nt
Filed under: Ursus maritimus (polar bear)
Lineage: Eukaryota; Metazoa; Chordata; Mammalia; Carnivora; Ursidae
Description: lncRNA (ENSUMAG00000004692.1)
Source: RNAcentral
CAAAAUCCCAAGUUUAAGAUUGGGGAUGGGGGGUUCCUUCCUUUUUUGGUACAAUGUUUCAUAGUUCCUUACCUCAUAUUUCCUUUAACUUUAUCAUAAUCCAUGAUUAUCUCUAAAUUGUUCCAUUGAGUCGAGUUAGUCAAUGUUGAAUUCUUAAUUCUAGCUAUAUUUUUUCAUUUUAAUGUCCACUUAAUGGGACAUUUUAUGUACACCAAUCUUGAAGAAUGGCUCUCAUAGUAUAUUUCAGACAGCCUCAUUUUUGGUAUCACAUUGCCUCAUUUUCGGUAUCUCGUUACGUUUGCUUUAUUUAUUACGAGAAAAGGAGAAUGUUUUUAUUCUGAAGAGAGUAUAACAAUGAACUUAUCAAAUUAAAAUACUUGAUACUUGCCCUUCCCAGGAACUAUUUGCAAACAUUUUGAAUAACUUUAUAAUAGCUUAUGAGAAGUUUGCCCUUAUAACCCGUGGUUCAUGUUAAGAAGAUAGAUAUUACAUUAGAGGAGACAAGAAUCCAGAAUGAUGAAUAACAUAAAGGGAGGUUUUUAAAAAGCAAAGGUUAGCUAGUUAGAGGAAAACCCAAGGUUUUUUACCUUCUUUUUUCUUCUCUCUGAUCACUCUAACAUUAUAUGGGAACGUUUUUAAACAGGGAAAAAGGCCUCUUUUCACAUAAUGAGGAGGAAAAAGCCCUAUGUUACAGUGCAAAAUUAACAAAGCCUUACUGUUUCCUUUCUAUUUAAAGAUUGCAUCCAUGGUGAAACGUGAAGAACUGCGGUAACCAUUAUCAGGGGUAUAGUAAAAUAGAAGAUAUGCUCUCUGCCCCCAAGAAACCACAAUCCAAUUGUCAAAAAAUGAAGAAAUGGCAGUGUGGACUUCACCAAAUGUGGUGGCAGGAAGCAAUAACAGUCAGGCGUGGAGCUGCUCCAGCUGAUGUCAUCUUCGUUCCCUCUACUGCACAUUUGCAAGCCGCAGCGGGGGGUGCGGGGCCCCAUGUUCAUCCCCAUUCCAGAGAUGGGAGAGCCACAGCUCCGUGCAAGGGGAUGGUGGGCAGGCUCCAGGGACAACCGGCUACCCAGCACUGGUAGGAACGUCCUCUGCAGGGACAGUAUGGGAUGAGAAGGGAACUGAAAAGUCAUUAAUAAGGUAAAAUGCCCAGCAUGGUGCCUGGAGCUUGUCAGCCACCAAAUUAUUAACAUCAUGUAAAAAGAUCCAAGUAGUGGGUGUUGCCCAUUAUAGACAGGGAGAGAAGCGGAGU